Eubacterium sp. is the source of this 162-nucleotide non-coding RNA. Lineage: Bacteria; Bacillati; Bacillota; Clostridia; Eubacteriales; Eubacteriaceae. The record is from Rfam.
GGUCGUUACAGAUCCCAUAAUUGAAUAAUGAAUGAGUGUAACUAACGGAACGAGGUGAGAAUCCUCCACUGAUACAGCAACCGUGAUCGUUCAUAACAGCCGGCCUGCAGAGAUGGCAGAGAGAACGUCAGUCGGGAGACGAGUUGCAGCUCUGAUUUGAGA